UACGGGGGGUGCGAGCGUUGUCCGGAAUCACUGGGCGUAAAGGGCGCGUAGGUGGUUUGAUAAGGGUGUGGUGAAAGUCCGGGGCUCAACCCCGGAUCUGCCGUGCCGACUGUCAAACUCGAGGACUGUAGAGGCAGACGGAAUUCCGGGUGUAGCGGUGGAAUGCGUAGAGAUCCGGAGGAAGACCGGUGGCGAAGGCGGUCUGCUGGGCAGUCUCUGACACUGAGGCGCGACAGCGUGGGGAGCAAACAGG
This 253-nucleotide ribosomal RNA is filed under the name uncultured bacterium. Its description in RNAcentral is "partial 16S ribosomal RNA". It matches the Rfam family "Bacterial small subunit ribosomal RNA", at positions 524 to 776 of the family's 1533-position model. The record is from RNAcentral.